GACGAACGCUGGCGGCGUGCUUAACACAUGCAAGUCGAACGGAAAGGCCCUGCUUUUGUGGGGUGCUCGAGUGGCGAACGGAUGAGUAACACGUGAGUAACCUGCCCUUGACUUUGGGAUAACUUCAGGAAACUGGGGCUAAUACCGGAUAGGAGCUCCUGCUGCAUGGUGGGGGUUGGAAAGUUUCGGCGGUUGGGGAUGGACUCGGGGCUUAUCAGCUUGUUGGUGGGGUAGUGGCUUACCAGGGCUUUGACGGGUAGCCGGCCUGGGAGGGUGGCCGGGCCCGGGGGGGGGGAGGGACCGCGGGGACUCGGAUGAGGGGCAGAAGUCCUGAGGGGGGGACAAGGGGGGAAAGUGUGAAGAAGGGGCGAAGCGUGAGGGAACAACGCCUGCGGGGGGAGAACGGCUUUCGGGUGGGAAACCGGUUUCCCUUGUGUGUAGGGGGGUUGACGGUAACUGGGUAAAAAACCCCGGCUAACUACGUG
RNAcentral lists this ribosomal RNA (485 nucleotides) under uncultured bacterium. RNAcentral describes it as "partial 16S ribosomal RNA". It matches the Rfam family "Bacterial small subunit ribosomal RNA", at positions 28 to 507 of the family's 1533-position model. The record is from RNAcentral.